ACUUUGCGCACCUUAUAACACAAGGCUGUUUG
RNAcentral lists this unclassified non-coding RNA (32 nucleotides) under Alexandrium ostenfeldii. Its description in RNAcentral is "partial miscellaneous RNA". The record is from RNAcentral. Lineage: Eukaryota; Dinophyceae; Gonyaulacales; Pyrocystaceae.